GCGGAGGAAAAGAAACCAACAGGGAUUGCCCUAGUAACGGCGAGUGAAGCGGCAACAGCUCAAAUUUGAAAUCUGGCCCUUGGGUCCGAAUUGUAAUUUGUAGAAGAUGCUUUUGGUGAGGUACCUUUCGAGUUCCCUGGAACGGGACGCCUUAGAGGGUGAGAGCCCCGUACGAUUGGAUACCAAGCCUCUGUAAAGCUCUUUCGACGAGUCGAGUAGUUUGGGAAUGCUGCUCUAAAUGGGAGGUAAAUUUCUUCUAAAGCUAAAUACUGGCCAGAGACCGAUAGCGCACAAGUAGAGUGAUCGAAAGAUGAAAAGUACUUUGAAAAGAGGGUUAAAUAGCACGUGAAAUUGUUGAAAGGGAAGCGUUUAUGACCAGACUUUUUCUAGGAGGAUCAUCCGGUGUUCUCACCGGUGCACUUUUCCUAGUGAAGGCCAGCAUCGGUUUCUGUAGAGGGAUAAAAUUAGUAGGAAUGUGGCUCCCUCGGGAGUGUUAUAGCCUGCUAAAUAAUACCUUUACGGGGACCGAGGUUCGCGCAUCUGCAAGGAUGCUGGCGUAAUGGUCAUCAACGACCCGUCUUGAAACACGGACCAAGGAGUCGAACAUUUAUGCGAGUGUUUGGGUGUUAAACCCUCACGCGUAAUGAAAGUGAACGGAGGUGAGAGCCCUUACGGGUGCAUCAUCGACCGAUCCUGAAGUUUUCGGAUGGAUUUGAGUAAGAGCAUUAAUGUUCGGACCCGAAAGAUGGUGAACUAUGCGUGGAUAGGGUGAAGCCAGAGGAAACUCUGGUGGAGGCUCGCAUCGGUUCUGACGUGCAAAUUGAUCUGUC
Molecule: small RNA, 830 nt
Filed under: Neoarthrinium moseri
Lineage: Eukaryota; Fungi; Ascomycota; Sordariomycetes; Amphisphaeriales; Apiosporaceae
Description: eukaryotic LSU rRNA
Rfam family: Eukaryotic large subunit ribosomal RNA
Source: RNAcentral